Molecule: ribosomal RNA, 579 nt
Filed under: uncultured bacterium
Lineage: Bacteria
Description: bacterial SSU rRNA
Rfam family: Bacterial small subunit ribosomal RNA
Source: RNAcentral
AGAGUUUGAUCCUGGCUCAGGGUUAACGCUGGCGGCGUGCCUAACACAUGCAAGUCGAGCGAGGGCUCGUUUCCCGCAAGGGAGGCGGGUACCUAGCGGCAAACGGGUGAGUAACACGUGGGCAACCUGUCCUCUCGCGGGGGAUAACACCGAGAAAUCGGUGCUAAUACCGCAUGUCAUCGUCGGGGGCAUCUUCGGCGAGAAAAGCAGAGAUGCGCGAGGGGUUGGGCCCGCGGCCUAUCAGCUAGUCGGUGGGGUGACGGCCUAUCGAGGCAUUGACGGGUAGCUGGUCUGAGAGGACGACCAGCCACAUGGGGACUGAGACACGGCCCCAACUCCUACGGGAGGCAGCAGUGAGGAAUCUUCCGCAAUGGGCGAAAGCCUGACGGAGCGACGCCGCGUGUGGGAUGAAGUCUCUCGGGAUGUAAACCACUGUCGGAGGGGAAGAGAAAGGACGGUACCCUCCAAGGAAGCCCCGGCUAACUACGUGCCAGCAGCCGCGGUAAUACGUAGGGGGCAAGCGUUACUCGGAUUCACUGGGCGUAAAGCGCGCGUAGGCGGCUGGUCAAGCGUGGUGUG